GAGUUUGAUCCUGGCUCAGGACGAACGCUGGCGGUGCGCCUUAUGCAUGCAAGUCGAGCGAAGCUUUUCAGUAGUUUACUACAGAAAAUGACUGAGCGGCGAACGGGUGAGUAACGCGUGAGCAACCUACCUUAGUUACUGGGAUAGCCCGAGGAAACUCGGAUUAAUACCGGAUAUUCUUAUUUAAUCACAUGAUUUUUUAAGGAAAGGUCAGCCGAACUAAGAUGGGCUCGCGUUCUAUCAGCUAGUUGGUAGGGUAAUGGCCUACCAAGGCUACGACGGAUAGCUGGUCUGAGAGGACGAUCAGCCACACUGGGACUGAGACACGGCCCAGACUCCUACGGGAGGCUGCAGCAGGGAAUAUUGCGCAAUGAGCGAAAGCUUGACGCAGCGACACCGCGUGUGGGAUGACGGAUCUAGGUUUGUAAACCACUUUCAGGAGGGAAGAAAAUGACGGUACCUCCACAAGAAGCCCCGGCCAACUACGUGCCAGCAGCCGCGGUAAUACGUAGGGGGCGAGCGUUGUCCGGAUUUAUUGGGCGUAAAGAGCUCGUAGGCGGUUCAACAAGUCGGUCGUGAAAGUUCAGGGCACAACCCUGAAAUGUCGAUCGAUACUGUUGUGACUAGGAUACGGUAGAGGUGAGUGGAAUUCCGAGUGUAGCGGUGAAAUGCGUAGAUAUUCGGAGGAACACCGAUUGCGAAGGCAGCUCACUGGGCCGCUAUCGACGCUGAGGAGCGAAAGCUAGGGGAGCAAACAGGAUUAGAUACCCUGGUAGUCCUAGCUGUAAACGAUGGAUACUAGACGUAG
Molecule: ribosomal RNA, 808 nt
Filed under: uncultured bacterium
Lineage: Bacteria
Description: bacterial SSU rRNA
Rfam family: Bacterial small subunit ribosomal RNA
Source: RNAcentral